CUGCACAGGUUCCAAUAAAUAUAAUUCAGAUAGUAAGCAAAUAUUUAUACAAAGAAGAUAAAUAUUUUUCUUCAAAUGCUUCAAGAUACACGCAUUACAUAUGAAUGGCAAUUUAUCAAUUCACAAUUAUAGCAAGCACACACAUACAGGGCAUUUCUACACAAGCUUCUAUAAAGAUGCAUGAUGCUUUAACUUUCCUAUGCUAGGCAGCAUAAUAAGUUUUAUAAUGACCAAAACCAUGAAUACCUUGCCAAUGCCAAUCUGACCCCUAAAUUCUUAUUAACACAGAACAAGCUAAAAUUUUAUCAAAUUUCAGAAAUAGCAUUGCAAAUACCAUUAUCUUGGUCUGGCCAACUAGUCAUGCUUGCUUGUUCCAGAUGCGAAAAUCAGGAUCAAUUACUUUGUUUUAAGAUCAUUCAUAUUCACUUUUGAAUAUAUAUUUGAAAAUAAUAAUAAUAAUAAUUGGUUUGACCAGGAACAUUAUUGCAGGUACUCUCCAUUCUAAGUGCUAGACUGCUAGCAAGGAUCUUGACCAACAAUAUUGAUAGUUUCAAACAGAGAAAUGAUGAUUUUUUUUUUCUUCCACAAGUCAGCAUCCUGACUUUUGUGCAAGUCGAUCAAGGCUUAGACUUGUGUUCAAAGACAUGAUAUUAUCAUCGUGGCAUUAGACAUGGGCCUGGUCAGGGUUUGGACUGGAAGCAGCCUGGUCAAAACCACAUUGGAACCAGUAAAUCCCGGAUUUGACCAUAGCCGUCUUGAACUAGGUUGAUUUUGACCAGUUCGGUCUGGUUCCAAAU
RNAcentral lists this unclassified non-coding RNA (797 nucleotides) under Hevea brasiliensis (rubber tree). Lineage: Eukaryota; Viridiplantae; Streptophyta; Magnoliopsida; Malpighiales; Euphorbiaceae. The record is from RNAcentral.